CAGUCGAACGGAACUGUUUUGAAAGAUUUCUUCGGAAUGAAUUUGAUUUAGUUUAGUGGCGGACGGGUGAGUAACGCGUGAGUAACCUGCCUUCAAGAGGGGGAUAACAUUCUGAAAAGAAUGCUAAUACCGCAUGAUAUAUCGGAAUCACAUGAUUUUGAUAUCAAAGAUUUUAUCGCUUGAAGAUGGACUCGCGUCCGAUUAGUUAGUUGGUGAGGUAACGGCUCACCAAGACUGCGAUCGGUAGCCGGACUGAGAGGUUGAACGGCCACAUUGGGACUGAGACACGGCCCAGACUCCUACGGGAGGCAGCAGUGGGGGAUAUUGCGCAAUGGGGGCAACCCUGACGCAGCAACGCCGCGUGAAGGAUGAAGGUUUUCGGAUUGUAAACUUCUUUUAUUAAGGACGAAGAUUGACGGUACUUAAUGAAUAAGCUCCGGCUAACUACGUGCCAGCAGCCGCGGUAAUACGUAGGGAGCAAGCGUUGUCCGGAUUUACUGGGUGUAAAGGGUGCGUAGGCGGCUUUGCAAGUCAGAUGUGAAAUCUAUGGGCUCAACCCAUAAACUGCAUUUGAAACUGUAGAGCUUGAGUGAAGUAGAGGCAGGCGGAAUUCCCCGUGUAGCGGUGAAAUGCGUAGAGAUGGGGAGGAACACCAGUGGCGAAGGCGGCCUGCUGGGCUUUAACUGACGCUGAGGCACGAAAGCGUGGGUAGCAAACAGGAUUAGAUACCCUGGUAGUCCACGCUGUAAACGAUGAUUACUAGGUGUGGGGGGUCUG
Molecule: ribosomal RNA, 777 nt
Filed under: uncultured bacterium
Lineage: Bacteria
Description: bacterial SSU rRNA
Rfam family: Bacterial small subunit ribosomal RNA
Source: RNAcentral